GGCCGACGCCCCUUGCCGUGCUCCCCACGUCGUAUGCGUCGAUGAGCCACCGCGACGACGAGGAUGGCGGCCGAGGAGAUGAGGAGGGCGUCCACCACUGCCACAGCGACUGCCACCGCCGGAGAAGCGUCGGAGUGAGCGAGGGUGUGGCCUGCGCUCCGCUGGAUCCCCACCUCAACCAAUCGCAUCAUCGCCGCCGAGAAGCGGCUCCUCUCGAUAGUCAAGUACCGCUCUCCGCCCCAAAUUUGCUCCCUUUCAUCCGAUUAAUUUAUGAAGUGUUGAGAGGAGGUCCAAGUCUGCUCGUGGAUUCAAGCGUUUAUCCGGACGACGAAUUGUUCAUCGUGGUGUUACAUUGGGAUUGGGUCGGCACUAGCUAGGUAAUGAGAUGUUGCUGUGCAUGCAUUGCAAUCUAGCUCAAAUGAGGGGUAUUGGGACUGUAGGGCAGCUGCUCAUCCCUUUCGUUAUGACUUGCAUUCAGAACCCUCGUGCUGCUUCACGGCAGUAUGUCUGAUAACACUCUUUUAGCUUCUUGUGGAUGCCUAUAAUAAUCUUACCUGGCAAUGCUGAUUGGACCGAACAAGCUAUUGUUAUCCUGGCAAGAAGAGGCGACGAUGGUAGGCAGGCUGUUCCAUUGAAGCCGGGUGGAUCGUCCAGUCUGAUGGCAGUGCCUACAAGGUUGCUAACUCAAGUCUGAUGUGUUAUGGUGCCUUUUGAUCACCAUGACACAAAUUUGAUGUAUAAUAUCAAGCUGUGAGAUGGUGUUACGUGUAUGUAUUUUCUGUGAAAAGAAAUUUCAGGUUUACUACUUUGCCUGAUAAAUUCAGUAAGCUGUGUACUAAGCAUUGUGCUUACAUGUGAGUUCAAACUGCUUUUAAGAGCUUUGACAGUUUGCUUACUCUGAGUUAGUGGUAUGUAGGCCUAUUCAAUUAUCUUUACUAUUUAAAAAGUCUCUACUACAUCGUAUCUUCACGCUUAAUUCGGUGUGCUAUGUUAUUUUUUUACCGUCAACAUUUCUAUAAUUUCUAUGUAUGCAAUUUUUUUAUUUUUAGGCAAAUAGGGUGAACGAGCCCCUGUGGAGGCUUCUAUCGAAAAUCGUGGUGCUGUACAUGUUGGAGCCCAUCUUCACAAUCAUAUUUGUGAUCAACAUGGCCGUUAUCUGGGAGAAGGUUAUGGCAAGACUGCGGAGCCAGAUAUUUCGAAGGAUUGUGAUCCAAAAGCUCAAAUCCAAUCUCCACUGCGAUCCAUUCCGAUCCCGAUCCGAGAUCCCGAUGGCAUUCGGCUGGUGUUGCAUGUUCCUAGAGAUCCUCCUCACCAUGGUCCUCCCCCUUGACGUCUUCCUCCGCUUCGGAUGCUACAGCGUACAUUCAACUAGUAGAAUAGACAAAGAAAUACAUGGACCUCGUUGGGCCGGAGUUCAGGGUUUCUUUGCUCCGCCGCCGCCGCCGAUUGCACUAAGAUAACACCGAGGUAGGUAGGUAGGUGAAUCUCUUUCUUACUAAACUCCCAUCCAAAUCUUGUCAAAGCGCCAACUGGUUUCGACCCGCCGAAAGGAAAAUCAUAUCACCGGAUUGUUGCCCGUGUCAAUAUUAUCUUGUGUCUAGAAUAAGAUACUGAAUUCAACAGAUUGAUGGGCUCCGACUCCGAGGAGCUUGGUGGAGCACAGGAUGGGCCGAGGGACAUUGGGCGGUACAAGUGCGAAUUCUUCGAUCCAAGAAAUGCUUGAUUCGAGCUCAUGUCCCGAGGUCCUUUGGCUGUCGUUUGGAUGGUUGUCCCCUCACAUACAGAAGAAAGGAUCAUCUGAAUCGGCAUAUGGGGAAAUUGUUCACUUGUCCAGUGGAAGGAAGGAUGCAGUCACAAAUUCAAUGUUAAGGCAAACAUGCAGAGACACGUUCUGGAGAUUCACAAAGAAGGUUCUUGUAAAAGCAAAACUAGAAGCUGAUUGCGGAAAGACUUUGAAAUAUGCUUCGAGGUUAAAGAAGCACGAGGAGUCACAUGCCAAGUAUUUCGACUAGUAUCGAUGUCGUGUCAUUGAGCAGCUUGAAACCUGAAAAUACAUUUGAUACUGUUGUUCAGCUGGGGGCCGGAAGAGGAAAUGCUUCACCGGUGGAGAGUUUGAUGCGCAAAAGAGUAGUUGCAGUUGCCCCCGAUGAAGCGCCUGAUCUGGAGAGGCAACGAGAGGAGAGAAAGAUAAAAGAGGCAACAUAAUUCUGCUGCGAGGGGAUCCCUGACAAGGAUUCAUCUGUGUGACAAGGUCAAGGCAGAGCCCCCUAAUUCUGCUGCUGCGUCUGUCUGUGUCUGUGUCUGUGUCUGUGUCUGUGUCUGUCCCAAUAUGGGGGGCAAGCAUAACUUACGUGGUCACAGUGCCUCCCUACAAUUAGAAAGCUCAAAUCAAUAGCAUCAUUCGUCACCGUCUCUUCUCAGAAUUACAUGUCACUCGUCAGCUUCGUCCAGCAAAACCAUAAAAUAAAAGGGAACCUGCUGCCUUUGCGAGUGCACA
Long non-coding RNA from Phragmites australis (common reed), 2497 nucleotides. RefSeq lists it as uncharacterized. NCBI's taxonomy places the organism in Eukaryota, Viridiplantae, Streptophyta, Magnoliopsida, Poales, Poaceae. The record is from RefSeq and is a predicted model, not a curated record. The transcript is spliced from 7 exons.